GCUGGGUGCAGUGGCAUGUGCCUGUAAUCCCAACUACUUGGGAGGUUGAGGCAGGAGAAUUGCUUGAGCCCAGGAGGUGGAGGUUGCAGUGAGCCAAGAUCGCACCACUGCACUCCAGCCUGGGCAACAGAGCAAGACUCUGUCUCAA
This 148-nucleotide non-coding RNA is filed under the name Homo sapiens (human). The record is from Rfam by way of RNAcentral. Lineage: Eukaryota; Metazoa; Chordata; Mammalia; Primates; Hominidae.